UCUCAAAUACCACGCUCUGGAGGAGGGAUAAGAAUGUCCUAUGGUUCCUGGGCCAGUUCAGGUGGCUUAGAGAAGGGCAAAACAGUACCUUUAUAGACACUACAAAAAUCACUUGAAGAAGGAACAAACAUCUCUGAGUGGAGGGAACUACACCAGUGUGGUAAGUAUCCUCUUCUGUAAAUGUUGGGAGAUGGGUCCCUUUCACUUUUACUCUUUGUGCUCUUCUCUAUUAAAUGCUAUUCCAUUACGUGCUAUCAUAUCAUGGUUCUCAUGUUUGAAAAUCCCUCUUCUUGUACGUUGUAACUUAUUUCAGAUCAUCACAGAAACUGGAAGACUGAGGACAAAAUCACAGAAUACCAGGGAGCAGGGCAGACCACACUAUGGUUUGAGCAGCCUUAUGGAAACGUCUGGCUCCAGGCUCGCUUUGGUUUUCUUCAGAGUUUCUUCAGUGGGUGCAGGAAAUUCUACUUACUGGGUUUGUCAGUAAUCUAGAAGUAUCUUGGUAUUUUUCAGAUUACCAAGUAUCUGUUGUAAUGUGACUUUGUGACACAACAGAUAAAGAGAUCAAGAUAGAUCACUGCUGGAGACUGUGUUUCCUAAGAAUGGAUGAUAAGCAUUAGCAGAUAAAAAAAAUGUAAUCAAUCAAGUAAUGGAACAAGGCAGGAAUGAGAGGAAUGUUUUUCAAUUUAAAAUCUAGUGUAAGUUUUGCCCUUAACAAAAUCAGAGAAAAUGUAAAGAAUCAGAGGGAAUUUUUUUAAAUCCACAAUGAAGGAAGAAAAGUGCUCCUUAAAUAGAUGAGUAAAUGGUUUCAGGCAUAAAUGUAUUUAUAUAUAGAUGUGUAGAGAUUUUCGUCUCCCGUUAGGAUUAAGUAAUUUUUUUAGAGUAAAUUUAUUCAGGAGUUGAUUAGUUUGUCAGUAAUAACAACCUACUUUUUGUAGCUCUUUAAAAAAUGACCUUAAAAAUGCACAAGAAUGGUAUUUGUUUUAGAAAAACAUGAAUAAUAUAUAUUUUUUAAACUUUUC
Molecule: long non-coding RNA, 1022 nt
Filed under: Lynx pardinus (Iberian lynx)
Lineage: Eukaryota; Metazoa; Chordata; Mammalia; Carnivora; Felidae
Source: RNAcentral